Molecule: RNA transcript, 2965 nt
Organism: Vespa crabro (European hornet)
Lineage: Eukaryota; Metazoa; Arthropoda; Insecta; Hymenoptera; Vespidae
Gene name: MAP/microtubule affinity-regulating kinase 3-like
Exons: 10
Source: RefSeq, a predicted model, not a curated record
GUGAGGGAGAAGAUAGAAAUUCGAGCGUUCGUUUAAUCGGCGUAGGAUGAUAACAGCACAAAUUCGCGUACGCCAUAUUGGCUGCCGUCCUUUCUCUAAUUCCUUUGAAAAUGUUCGAAUUGUUUGACGUUUUUAAUGUUCCUUGCGUUCAUUAUGAGCGUCAAAGGGUUAUUUAUUCGUUGUUCUUUCAUCUUCCGUGUUGAUAUAUUCCAACGAUUUUGAUUUUGAUUAUUACGCGCGUGCGCGCGCGCGUGUAUUUAUGUACGUGCGUAUGUGUGUGCAGUGUUGAGUUAGUGUGCUUGUAAAGUGUAGAAGUAGUGUGUCAGUUGGACGAUUUCUCUCUCUCUCUUUCUCUCUUUCUAUUUCUUUCUACCUCUGUCUCUCUCUCUCUCUCUCUCUCUUUCUCUCUUACAUUUCUUCCAUCGUUUCUCUCUUUCUGUGUCUUUCUCUGUCUCUUUGUCUCCGUAUCUGUCUAUCUCUCUUCUAUUCAUUCCCAUUUAUCGUUUUUGGAAAUGACUCGAUCGGAUAUGAACGUCGACCGCGGUAUUAGCAACAGGAGGUCCCUAGUCAGCGUUGGAAAAUAUCAAAUGAUUCGUGUUCUUGGAAAAGGGAAUUUCGCACGUGUGGAGGAAGCUAUUCACACAAUUUUAAGGACCAAGGUGGCAGUGAAGAUAAUCGAUACCCAACAUGGCCGGCAGGAUUACGUAAUGAAGAAUUUAACUCGUGAGGCUAAGCUAUUAUCGAUGUUGCAACAUCCGAGUAUCGUUAGACUCUACGAAACGAUUCAGUACGGAUCUGUGUACUACCUCGUGAUGGAACUUGCAACCGGUGGCGACCUGUGCACCCAUAUUAAGCAACAACCAAGCGGCAUGCUCGAUGAGAUGACCGCCAAGCUCUAUACCAGACAGCUGGUCGGUGCGUUGAAACACAUGCACUCCAGGGGAAUCGUUCAUCGCGAUUUAAAGAUGGAAAAUAUAAUGCUGCAAGAUACGCGGAAAGAUCAAAUCAAGAUAGUUGAUUUUGGAUUGAGUAAUAUCUACGAUAGCGAAGAUCCUUUGAAAACUCAUUGUGGAUCACCUGAAUACGCAGCACCAGAGCUUUUUGUCGUCGGUAAAAAAUACGGACCCGAGGUCGAUCUUUGGAGUCUUGGUGUCGUCUUAUACGGAAUGAUGACCGGUCGGCUGCCCUUUUUAAGUCCUUGCGACGAACAGACGUCAUCGGAGGAACGUCGGCGAAGGUUAAUGGCUCAAAUAAACCGGGGUGUAACGGCCCUACAAAUGAAAAACAUGUCGAGGAUGUCGAAUGAUUGCAAGAAUCUGAUUAACAGAUUGCUUACGCCCGUUCCACAUAAAAGGAUCACGAUCCAGGAACUUUGCCAUCAUCCUUGGAUCGUUUGCAAGCUUAGGAAUGUAUCAAGAAUUGCAAGUGAGGCUGAUUUGGACGUGAACGAUCAAAAGACGAUAAUCGCUGAGAUAUCCAAGAUGACUCACCUGGAUCGGAAUACGAUCGAGAUGGAAAUUAUUCGACGAAAGUACGGCGAAAUAGGCGGCAUGUAUAAUAUCAAAUCGCACAAGGCACGUCAAGCUGCUGCUAUGUACGCACGUCACACAGGAUCAUUCUCAUUGCUCAGAUAUAUACCGUCGCAGUACAUGAAACAAUCGUAUUCGACAACUACGUCUAUGAGAACAGCAACAGUCGGUGGGACAACGACGACCUACAAAAUACCAUCGAGAUAUUCACCUUAUACAAAGUCCGAGGAGAAAUCGACUGGAUAUGUUUGUGCAGUAACUCCGUUCAAAGAGAAUAAAAAAUGUUGGGACAAUAAAAGCGUGUCAUUCGGUGAUGUUAAAAAUUCUACGAAACUUCAGAAAUAUUCGAAUACGUCCUGUACGACUUGCAAAAAUGUUUUUUUACCAUUGUCGAAUCCACAACAACCGCAAGUUUUUAAGAAGAAUGAAUUCGUUGAACACGCGAUACCAAUGCACAACAAGUACUCCGACAAAAGGUAAUGAUAGUGAGAGCUAUAAUCAAUCGAAUGAUAAGGGAUAAAAAGAAACCUUUAUAUGAUUUUCCCCUUCCACUCUUCCCUCUCUCUCUCUCUCUCUCUCUCUCUUUCUCUCUCUCUCUCUCUCUCUCUCUCUCUCUCUCUCUCUCUCUCUUUCUCUCUUUUUCAUCCAUCUCUCUGUCCUUCAGUAAUGAACAGAAGCAAACGAGCAGAUUGGCCGUUCGUCAAACGAAUAUCCGUUUAUUGCCUACCUCUUCAAGAAUUUCUUUUUCUCAAGCAUCUUCCAGUUCUCCUCAAUCCGACGUAGUACAUCGUAAUCCUAUCAAGAGAUGGUCUGAAAUACGUGAAAAGAGAGAAACGAUUCGACAACAAAGACGUUCGACACAUUCCGUAAAUCAAACCGAUACGAAUACGAUCUCAUCAACGUCCUCGGUAAACAGAACUCGACCGCGUACUUCAGAAUCCAACGCCAUAAAUCGUAAUGCAUUUAAUCGUUGUAAAUUUACAAUGGAAAAAUUAGAGUCCCAAAGGGAAGUCGAUAAAAUUGUAACUUCGGUGCCAAUAUUUGUUAAGAAAAAGAUAAUAUCUGCUUACGAUACAAUAGCACCGAAAUAUCUUUUGCGCAAUAAUUCUUCGAAUAAAAGUGCAUCCAAGUUAAAUGACAAAGUAAGAUAACUAAAGGAUGAACAAUAGAAUUAUUAUAACACGAGCUCGGAUAUUUUUUUCGUUCCUUUUGAUUAAGAAGAAAAAAAACAAAAAAAAACCAAAAAAAAAACCAAAAAAAAAACCAAAAAAAAAAGAACAUCGAUUUAAUUAGAAAAUUAAAAGUUGCUUAUAAGUCUUUUAAUAAAGUUCUAAAAUAUUUUACAUAUUAUGUAUUUCGAGACAAUUUUAGGACGUACAAUAAAAUGAUCUCUUUUUUUUCCUUCUUUUCCUUUUUCUCUAAAAAUUAAACACAAA